AACGAACGCUGGCGGCGUGCCUAACACAUGCAAGUCGAACGAGAAAGGGGCUUCGGCUCCGAGUAAAGUGGCGCACGGGUGAGUAACACGUGGGUAACCUGCCUCUAAGAUUGGGAUAACUCGUCGAAAGAUGAGCUAAUACCGAAUAAGACCACAGUUCCCGCGGGAACAGGGGUCAAAGGUAGCCUCUGCUUGCAAGCUAUCACUUAGAGAUGGGCCUGCGCACCAUUAGCUAGUUGGUAGGGUAACGGCCUACCAAGGCAAAGAUGGUUAGCUGGUCUGAGAGGAUGAUCAGCCACACUGGAACUGAGACACGGUCCAGACUCCUACGGGAGGCAGCAGUGGGGAAUAUUGCGCAAUGGGCGAAAGCUUGACGCAGCAACGCCGCGUGAGUGAUGAAGGCCUUCGGGUCGUAAAACUCUGUCGGGAGGAACGAAUGCUCCUGAGGUUAACAGCCUCGGGAGGUGACGGUACCUUCAAAGGAAGCACCGGCUAACUCUGU
Molecule: ribosomal RNA, 502 nt
Filed under: uncultured bacterium
Lineage: Bacteria
Description: partial 16S ribosomal RNA
Rfam family: Bacterial small subunit ribosomal RNA
Source: RNAcentral